AAGGUAGCGAAAUUCCUUGUCGGGUAAGUUCCGACCUGCACGAAUGGCGUAACGAUUUGAGCACUGUCUCAACGAGGGACUCGGUGAAAUUAUAUUAUUGGUAAAGAUACCAAUUACCCACAGAAGGACGGAAAGACCCCGUGAACCUUUACUGCAACCUGAUAUUGAAUUUUGGUACAUCUUAUGCAGGAUAGGUAGGAGGCUUUGAAACCAGGGCGUCAGCACUGGUGGAGCCAAUGGUGAGAUACUACCUCUGAUAUGCUGGAAUUCUAACUACGCACCGUUAUCCGGGCGUAAGACAGUGGCAGGCAGGCAGUUUGACUGGGGCGGUCGCCUCCUAAAUGGUAACGGAGGCGUCCAAAGGUUCCCUCAGAGUGUUUGGCAAUCACUCGAAGAGUAUAAAGGCAUAAGGGAGCUUAACUGCGAGAUUGACAAAUCAAGCAGAAACGAAAGUUGGGCUUAGUGAUCCGGCGGCUCAGUGUGGAAUGGCCGUCGCUCAACGGAUAAAAGGUACUCCGGGGAUAACAGGCUUAUCUCCCCCAAGAGUCCAUAUCGACGGGGAGGUUUGGCACCUCGAUGUCGGCUCAUCGCAUCCUGGGGCUGAAGCAGGUCCCAAGGGUUUGGCUGUUCGCCAAUUAAAGCGGUACGCGAGCUGGGUUUAGAACGUCGUGAGACAGUUCGGUCCCUAUCCUCUGUGGGCGUAGGAGAAUUGAGGAGAUUUGUCCCUAGUACGAGAGGACCGGGAUGAGCAAACCUCUAGUAUGCCAGUUGUUCUGCCAAGGGCAUUGCUGGUUAGCCAAGUUUGUAAAGGAUAAGUGCUGAAAGCAUAUAAGCACGAAGCCUACUCCAAGAAUAGUUCUCCCAUCCAUUAAUGGAGUAAGAUCCCAUGUAGAACACAUGGUUGAUAGGUUAGAAGUGUAAGCAUAGUGAUAUGUUUAGCUGACUAAUACUAAUAGAUCGAGGACUUGAUUUA
RNAcentral lists this ribosomal RNA (973 nucleotides) under Actinomycetota bacterium. RNAcentral describes it as "Actinobacteria bacterium partial 23S ribosomal RNA". It matches the Rfam family "Bacterial large subunit ribosomal RNA", at positions 1953 to 2925 of the family's 2925-position model. The record is from RNAcentral. Lineage: Bacteria; Bacillati; Actinomycetota.